RNAcentral lists this ribosomal RNA (393 nucleotides) under uncultured bacterium. RNAcentral's name for it is "partial 16S ribosomal RNA". It matches the Rfam family "Bacterial small subunit ribosomal RNA", at positions 523 to 918 of the family's 1533-position model. The record is from RNAcentral.
AUACGGAGGAUCCGCGCGUUAUCCGGAUUUAUUGGGUUUAAAGGGAGCGUAGGUGGAUUGUUAAGUCAGUUGUGACAGUUUGCGGCUCAACCGUAAAAUUGCAGUUGAAACUGGCAGUCUUGAGUACAGUAGAGGUGGGCGGAAUUCGUGGUGUAGCGGUGAAAUGCUUAGAUAUCACGAAGAACUCCGAUUGCGAAGGCAGCUCACUAGACUGUUACUGACACUGAUGCUCGAAAGUGUGGGUAUCAAACAGGAUUAGAUACCCUGGUAGUCCACACAGUAAACGAUGAAUACUCGCUGUUUGCGAUAUACAGUAAGCGGCCAAGCGAAAGCAUUAAGUAUUCCACCUGGGGAGUACGCCGGCAACGGUGAAACUCAAAUGAAUUGGCGGGG